Molecule: transfer-messenger RNA, 356 nt
Filed under: Myxococcales bacterium
Lineage: Bacteria; Pseudomonadati; Myxococcota; Myxococcia; Myxococcales
Also listed under: 1 other name
Rfam family: transfer-messenger RNA
About the family: Bacterial tmRNA, also known as 10Sa RNA or SsrA, is named for its dual tRNA and mRNA-like properties. Its role is to liberate the mRNA from a stalled ribosome.
Source: RNAcentral
GGGGGCGAAACGGCUUCGACGGAGGCUACGAAGGAUUUUGUGGCAUGCCAAGGCCCCGCUACCUUGUAAAAAGCGGGAACUUUUUUAAGUGCCAACGAUAACGUUGAUUUUGCACUUGCUGCGUAAGCAGUAAAGCUGGUGAUGGAGACGGGCCCAGGGUCGAAAUCACCAUACACUUCACUGGGCUGGUUGUUUAUGGGUGUCUACACCAUAGGCAACGAGACUUUGUAGGCUAAGGUAUCGGAACCCUGUCCGUGGGGUAACCGGUACUCGAAAAUCCAACCACGGGAGAAGCAUGUGGUUCGCAACUUCUGGACAGCUUUCGGACCCCGGUUCGACUCCGGGCGCCUCCACCU